RNAcentral lists this ribosomal RNA (440 nucleotides) under uncultured bacterium. RNAcentral's name for it is "partial 16S ribosomal RNA". It matches the Rfam family "Bacterial small subunit ribosomal RNA", at positions 338 to 795 of the family's 1533-position model. The record is from RNAcentral.
CCUACGGGUGGCAGCAGUGGGGGAUAUUGCACAAUGGGGGAAACCCUGAUGCAGCGACGCCGCGUGGGUGAAGAAGCGCCUCGGCGCGUAAAGCCCUGUCAGCAGGGAAGAAAAUGACGGUACCUGAAGAAGAAGCCCCGGCUAACUACGUGCCAGCAGCCGCGGUAAUACGUAGGGGGCAAGCGUUAUCCGGAUUUACUGGGUGUAAAGGGGGCGCAGACGGCGCUGCAAGCCAGGAGGGAAAGCCCGGGGCCCAACCCCGGGACUGCUCUUGGAACUGCGUUGCUAGAGUGCAGGAGGGGCAGGCGGAAUGCCUGGUGUAGCGGUGAAAUGCGUAGAUAUCAGGAGGAACACCGGUGGCGAAGGCGGCCUGCUGGACUGCAACUGACGUUGAGGCCCGAAAGCGUGGGGAGCAAACAGGAUUAGAUACCCCAGUAGUC